This 269-nucleotide non-coding RNA is filed under the name Bacillus subtilis subsp. subtilis. RNAcentral's name for it is "small regulatory RNA". The stretch from base 99 to 185 matches the Rfam family "BsrC". RNAcentral also lists the same sequence under 1 other name. Lineage: Bacteria; Bacillati; Bacillota; Bacilli; Caryophanales; Bacillaceae. The record is from RNAcentral.
CAAAUAAAGAUUAUAUCAUCCGCCAAGUCAGGCGGGUUAGAUUCAUAAAGCAUUGUUCCGAAGAAUCAUUCUGGAAAGUAAACACCAUGGAAAUUUCUUGAACACAAGACAACGAAAGCCCUACCUCUCAAUCGUCACUGCGGCUCCGAAGCCGCGCCGGUGUGAAUUGUAAAACAAAAAAGUCUUUUUUCCAUCUCAUCGUUAGGGGCGAUUUGUUAUGAAGGAAAAGAAUAAGGGCAGCUGGUUAUGCUGCUUGGGAAGCGGUAAGC